CGCAGUGGCGUCGUGCUAUACAUGCAGUCGAACGCGUCUCCGUUAAUGAUUUUAGGUGCUUGCACCUGAAAGAUUUAACAUUGAGACGAGUGGCGAACUGGUGAGUAACACGUGGGUAACCUGCCCUUGAAGUAGGGGAUAACACUUGGAAACAGGUGCUAAUACCGUAUAACAACCAAAACCACCUGGUUUUGGUUUAAAAGACGGCUUCGGCUGUCACUUUAGGAUGGACCCGCGGCGUAUUAGCUUGUUGGUAAGGUAACGGCCUACCAAGGCGAUGAUACGUAGCCGACCUGAGAGGGUAAUCGGCCACAUUGGGACUGAGACACGGCCCAAACUCCUACGGGAGGCAGCAGUAGGGAAUCUUCCACAAUGGACGAAAGUCUGAUGGAGCAACGCCGCGUGAGUGAUGAAGGGUUUCGGCUCGUAAAACUCUGUUGUUGGAGAAGAACAGGUGUCAGAGUAACUGUUGACAUCUUGACGGUAUCCAACCAGAAAGCCACGGCUAACUACGUGCCAGCAGCCGCGGUAAUACGUAGGUGGCAAGCGUUGUCCGGAUUUAUUGGGCGUAAAGCGAGCGCAGGCGGUUUUUUAGGUCUGAUGUGAAAGCCUUCGGCUUAACCGGAGAAGUGCAUCGGAAACCGGGAGACUUGAGUGCAGAAGAGGACAGUGGAACUCCAUGUGUAGCGGUGAAAUGCGUAGAUAUAUGGAAGAACACCAGUGGCGAAGGCGGCUGUCUGGUCUGUAACUGACGCUGAGGCUCGAAAGCAUGGGUAGCGAACAGGAUUAGAUACCCUGGUAGUCCAUGCCGUAAACGAUGAGUGCUAAGUGUUGGAGGGUUUCCGCCCUUCAGUGCUGCAGCUAACGCAUUAAGCACUCCGCCUGGGGAGUACGACCGCAAGGUUGAAACUCAAAGGAAUUGACGGGGGCCCGCACAAGCGGUGGAGCAUGUGGUUUAAUUCGAUGCUACGCGAAGAACCUUACCAGGUCUUGACAUCUUCUGCCAACCUAAGAGAUUAGGCGUUCCCUUCGGGGACAGAAUGACAGGUGGUGCAUGAUGUCGUCAGCUCGUGUCGUGAGAUGUGGGUAGUCCCGCACGAGCGCACCCUUUUGUUAGUGCAGCAUCAGUGGGCCCUCUAGCAAGACUGCGUGAAAACGGAGAGGUGGGAUGACGUCAUCAUCAUGCCUUAUGACUGACUACACUGUCUCAAUUGAACGUUCACGGGUGCGGAACUGCGAAGUUCAGCAUAUCUCUCUUAAGGCCGUCAG
RNAcentral lists this ribosomal RNA (1269 nucleotides) under Lentilactobacillus buchneri. RNAcentral describes it as "bacterial SSU rRNA". It matches the Rfam family "Bacterial small subunit ribosomal RNA", at positions 34 to 1291 of the family's 1533-position model. Lineage: Bacteria; Bacillati; Bacillota; Bacilli; Lactobacillales; Lactobacillaceae. The record is from RNAcentral.